RNAcentral lists this ribosomal RNA (459 nucleotides) under uncultured bacterium. Its description in RNAcentral is "bacterial SSU rRNA". It matches the Rfam family "Bacterial small subunit ribosomal RNA", at positions 30 to 484 of the family's 1533-position model. The record is from RNAcentral.
AUUGAACGCUGGCGGCAUGCCUUACACAUGCAAGUCGAACGGCAGCACGGGAGCAAUCCUGGUGGCGAGUGGCGAACGGGUGAGUAAUAUAUCGGAACGUGCCCAGUCGUGGGGAUAACGUAGCGAAAGCUACGCUAAUACCGCAUACGAUCUAUGGAUGAAAGCGGGGGAUCGCAAGACCUCGCGCGAUUGGAGCGGCCGAUAUCAGAUUAGGUAGUUGGUGAGGUAAAGGCUCACCAAGCCGACGAUCUGUAGCUGGUCUGAGAGGACGACCAGCCACACUGGGACUGAGACACGGCCCAGACUCCUACGGGAGGCAGCAGUGGGGAAUUCUGGACAAUGGGCGCAAGCCUGAUCCAGCAAUGCCGCGUGCAGGAUGAAGGCCUUCGGUUGUAAACUGCUUUGUACGGUAACGAAACGGUAAGACUCUAAUACAGUUUGCUAAUGACGGUACCGUAA